Molecule: unclassified non-coding RNA, 420 nt
Filed under: Hevea brasiliensis (rubber tree)
Lineage: Eukaryota; Viridiplantae; Streptophyta; Magnoliopsida; Malpighiales; Euphorbiaceae
Source: RNAcentral
AUUUAUUUCACUGCCAUCCAAGAGAAGGGCGUCUGUGAUUUAUAAGCACACUCUUCUUAUCUCUUCCUUUCUUGAAGGACAAAAGAAAAAAAAAAGGAUCUGAAUCCAUUUGGUUUUGGUGAUUCUUGGGAGAAGGUGUAGUUCUCUGCAGGCUUAACACCAUACUAGCCCUUGAUCCCUUUAGACAAGAAGACCCAUCAUUUUCUUUCAAUAUAUAUUAUUCUUUCCAGAAAAUAAUUCAUAUACAGUGUACAGAAUUUCAUAUUUCUUACGCUCGUUUGUGUUUGGAAUCUUUCUUUAAAUGCCCUGUUCGAAGAUGGCUGAGAACGCUGCUACAAAGAACCAUUUUCCUCCCCAGGUUUUCAGUGUCUCUGUUGACAUGCCUUCUCAAGGUGGCUCCAAGUGGUUUGAUGAUGAUGG